RNAcentral lists this ribosomal RNA (716 nucleotides) under Pediococcus acidilactici. RNAcentral's name for it is "bacterial SSU rRNA". It matches the Rfam family "Bacterial small subunit ribosomal RNA", at positions 50 to 762 of the family's 1533-position model. The record is from RNAcentral. Lineage: Bacteria; Bacillati; Bacillota; Bacilli; Lactobacillales; Lactobacillaceae.
GGUGCUUGCACUGAAUGAGAUUUUAACACGAAGUGAGUGGCGGACGGGUGAGUAACACGUGGGUAACCUGCCCAGAAGCAGGGGAUAACACCUGGAAACAGAUGCUAAUACCGUAUAACAGAGAAAACCGCCUGGUUUUCUUUUAAAAGAUGGCUCUGCUAUCACUUCUGGAUGGACCCGCGGCGCAUUAGCUAGUUGGUGAGGUAACGGCUCACCAAGGCGAUGAUGCGUAGCCGACCUGAGAGGGUAAUCGGCCACAUUGGGACUGAGACACGGCCCAGACUCCUACGGGAGGCAGCAGUAGGGAAUCUUCCACAAUGGACGCAAGUCUGAUGGAGCAACGCCGCGUGAGUGAAGAAGGGUUUCGGCUCGUAAAGCUCUGUUGUUAAAGAAGAACGUGGGUGAGAGUAACUGUUCACCCAGUGACGGUAUUUAACCAGAAAGCCACGGCUAACUACGUGCCAGCAGCCGCGGUAAUACGUAGGUGGCAAGCGUUAUCCGGAUUUAUUGGGCGUAAAGCGAGCGCAGGCGGUGUUUUGAGUCUAAUGUGAAAGCCUUCGGCUCAACCGAAGAAGUGCAUUGGAAACUGGGAGACUUGAGUGCAGAAGAGGACAGUGGAACUCCAUGUGUAGCGGUGAAAUGCGUAGAUAUAUGGAAGAACACCAGUGGCGAAGGCGGCUGUCUGGUCUGUAACUGACGCUGAGGCUCGAAAGCAU